UGGCUCAGUGGUAGAGCGCUUGCCUAGCAUACAUGAGGCACUGGGUUCAAUCCCCAG
This 57-nucleotide transfer RNA is filed under the name Ictidomys tridecemlineatus (thirteen-lined ground squirrel). Its description in RNAcentral is "Spermophilus tridecemlineatus (thirteen-lined ground squirrel) tRNA". It matches the Rfam family "tRNA", at positions 8 to 63 of the family's 71-position model. Rfam says of the family: Transfer RNA (tRNA) molecules are approximately 80 nucleotides in length. Their secondary structure includes four short double-helical elements and three loops (D, anti-codon, and T loops). The record is from Rfam by way of RNAcentral. Lineage: Eukaryota; Metazoa; Chordata; Mammalia; Rodentia; Sciuridae.